GGGCACAUGGUGUAGCUGGUUAUCACGCUCGCUUUGCAUCGUAGUUGCGAGUGGUCUCCGGUUCGAUUCCGGAUGUGUCCA
Molecule: transfer RNA, 81 nt
Filed under: Termitomyces sp. T159_Od127
Lineage: Eukaryota; Fungi; Basidiomycota; Agaricomycetes; Agaricales; Lyophyllaceae
Description: tRNA-Ala
Rfam family: tRNA
About the family: Transfer RNA (tRNA) molecules are approximately 80 nucleotides in length. Their secondary structure includes four short double-helical elements and three loops (D, anti-codon, and T loops).
Source: RNAcentral